This 434-nucleotide ribosomal RNA is filed under the name uncultured Oscillospiraceae bacterium. RNAcentral's name for it is "bacterial SSU rRNA". It matches the Rfam family "Bacterial small subunit ribosomal RNA", at positions 341 to 792 of the family's 1533-position model. The record is from RNAcentral. Lineage: Bacteria; Bacillati; Bacillota; Clostridia; Eubacteriales; Oscillospiraceae.
ACGGAAGGCAGCAGUGGGGAAUAUUGGGCAAUGGGGGAAACCCUGACCCAGCAACGCCGCGUGAAGGAAGAAGGCCUUCGGGUCGUAAACUUCUUUUACCAGGGACGAUAAUGACGGUACCUGGAGAAAAAGCAACGGCUAACUACGUGCCAGCAGCCGCGGUAAUACGUAGGUUGCAAGCGUUGUCCGGAUUUACUGGGUGUAAAGGGCGUGUAGGCGGAGCUGCAAGUCAGAUGUGAAAUCCCGGGGCUCAACCCCGGAACUGCAUUUGAAACUGUAGCCCUUGAGUAUCGGAGAGGCAAGCGGAAUUCCUAGUGUAGCGGUGAAAUGCGUAGAUAUUAGGAGGAACACCAGUGGCGAAGGCGGCUUGCUGGACGACAACUGACGCUGAGGCGCGAAAGCGUGGGGAGCAAACAGGAUUAGAUACCCUGGUA